RNAcentral lists this ribosomal RNA (254 nucleotides) under uncultured bacterium. Its description in RNAcentral is "partial 16S ribosomal RNA". It matches the Rfam family "Bacterial small subunit ribosomal RNA", at positions 524 to 776 of the family's 1533-position model. The record is from RNAcentral.
UACGUAGGGGGCGAGCGUUGUCCGGAUUUAUUGGGCGUAAAGAGCUCGUAGGCGGUUCGAUAAGUCGGACGUGAAAUCUCCACGCUCAACGUGGAGGGGCCGUUCGAUACUGUCGUGACUCGAGUCCGGUAGGGGAGUGUGGAAUUCUCGGUGUAGCGGUGAAAUGCGCAGAGAUCGGGAGGAACACCCGUAGCGAAGGCGGCACUCUGGGCCGGUACUGACGCUGAGACGCGAAAGCGUGGGGAGCAAACAGG